AGCGUGCUGUUUUUGGAUGCCUCUGUCACACAUUCCUUCACUUCACGUACGCGGAAACAUCAGGAAGUACCAGCGAGUGCCCCUGGGUUCCAGAGCAGCAGUCCUGCCCGGGGGUCUCUCCACAUGCAGGAGGACCAUUGCUGCGUGCCUGCAGGCAGCUCCCCCGGGGCUCCGAGACCUUCCCAGCAGAGUUCUCCAGGCCCGGGAGGAAGACGCGCGGUGGGGCUCUUGGUGUAAAGCUGCGGAGCCCGCCCAACCCUAACCCCUCCACCCCAGGACCCACACGCUCUGGUUAAAAGCGUUGAGCUGUCCUGGCAGACAGACUCGUGCCUGCGUCUCAGUGGGCAGCCACGUGGACACAAGGCCCCUGCUCUGUGUCCCGUGGGGCUGGCGGAGCGUUGUUGCGGGAGGUGGUGCCGACAGGCAGGGCAGGCAGACCCGCGUCCGGGAGACGGGUUCGAUCCCGUGAGGACGCGUCUCUGGCCUCCGUGUAGUGGGCCUGCCGGCAGGUGGCCAGCUGCUCCUGGGCCUUGGUGCCGGUCCAGUCGCCAAGUGGGCGCCCGGCAGGGCCAGCUGGUGAGCCAGGGUCAGGGCCUGACAUCGAGCCUGUUGAGACAGCCCCGUCCCCAUCUCGAUGGCCCCUUUGUUCAUGGAGUGGGGCAGGGGUUCUCAGCGAGCCGUCCGCUCCCACAACUGGCCGUUUUGUCCACCUGGCGGUGAGUGUCCUCUGUCGGGCUUUUCCCUGGUGAGCACAGUCUGUGCCCGUUUGGAGAGGUCUGUCCCCACCCGGAUCUUCUGUCGCCAGUCCUUAAAUCCCGUUGCUCCCAAAUCUUUGACCGUCCAGCCGAGCUGAACUUUGAAGACAAAGUUACGGUAAACGAUGGUCCUCGGGUCCCUGGUCACAAGGGUACUUGCGGUUGUGCAGUGGGCGUGUCUGUGCACGUCACAGCCGCCCGCUCUUGCUGUACUUCGCACGCGAGUGUCCGUCGCUGCACACCCGGAGGUGGGCCAAGCGGUCGACCGCCCUCGCUGUGUUCAGGGCACUCGUGCCACGCGGUCACCGAUGUCCGUGGUUAGGUGCUCGGCCCGCAUAGUGGAGGCUCUUUCUGCGGAGGACCAGCGCCCCCGGAGGAGGACAGGUUUGACGUGCUUGGAGGAUCUGUGCUGGUGUCCUUUGGUCCCCGCUGGGGGCUUGUGACACGUCCUCAUUCGCCGCGGAUGUUGAGUUACUAGGUCUCUUGUAUCCUCGGGCUCAGUGGUCGCGCCGCAUUUUCGGACACGUUCGGGUCCCUCUUUAACUGGGAGGCACGCGCUGCCUGUGUAGACGGUUGGAAUUAACACACCAGAAGGGUCUGGGCUGCCUGUUCUCGGGAGGGUGUGGGAGAUGCAGUGCCCUGUCUUCUUGCUUCAGAGCCCGGAAUCCACAGGAAUGCCACUGAGUUGGGGACCCCUGAGUUUGGGGCGCAUUAUUUCUUGUGAUGGAUCGAUUGGUUUUAAUUUUUUAAAAUUAUCUUUAUUUUUUAACUUUUAUUGGAGUACAGUUAAUUUACAGUGUGGUGUUAGUUUCAGGGGUACAGCAAAGUGGAUCAGUUACGCACGUGCACGUAUCCACUCUUUUUUAGAUUCUUUUCCUACAUAGCUCAUUACAGAGUAUUGAGUGGAGCUCCCUGUGCUCUACGGCAGGUCCUCAUUAGUUACCUGUUUUAUAUAUAGUAGUGUGUACCUGUCAAUCCCAGUCUCCCAGUUUAUUAUCCCCCUCCUUUCCCCCUGGCAACUAUAAGUUUGUUUUCUACCUCUGUGACUGUAUUUCUGUUUUGUGAAUAAGUUCAUUUGUACCAUUUUUACUCUUAAUCUUGUGGCUUAUUCAGUUCACUGUUAUUAAAUUGUCUGCUCAUCAGAUCCAGUCAGCGACACGUCACCGCUGUGGUGCGUGGGAGUGAUGCUCUGUGCAGCACGCGACGGUCUGCGUGUCUGGACUCAGCAGCAGAAGCAGGGUCGGUGUAGCCCUGAGGCUCCAUCGGGAGGAAUGCGGUGGACUUCUGCUCCGGGGAGGGAGGGGUGGGGGGAGGGCAAGCGGGACGGGACCCCAGGGGAGGAAACACUGAGCGACAGGGGCGUCUACUGCCGAGGAAGGGCAGGAAGGCGUGCAGCUGCCAGGGAGCAGCCCCUCCCUGAGAGCGUGACCCCACAGGGCCAGGUGAAGCCAUUGGGCCCCGGGGGUGAUCACAGCAACGACAGAACCCAGCCAGCUCAGCCUGUGACUCGGCACCUCACUGAUGGCCUGGAGGAGAAAGGCCGGCCAAUUCCAGGCAUAAAAACUUGGUAUGUCAGUCUCUGCCUUCCCACGCAGGUCUGGCGUUCGGU
This 2364-nucleotide long non-coding RNA is filed under the name Phocoena sinus (vaquita). RNAcentral describes it as "lncRNA (ENSPSNG00000010356.1)". Lineage: Eukaryota; Metazoa; Chordata; Mammalia; Artiodactyla; Phocoenidae. The record is from RNAcentral.